This 253-nucleotide ribosomal RNA is filed under the name uncultured bacterium. RNAcentral's name for it is "partial 16S ribosomal RNA". It matches the Rfam family "Bacterial small subunit ribosomal RNA", at positions 524 to 776 of the family's 1533-position model. The record is from RNAcentral.
UACGUAGGGGGCGAGCGUUGUCCGGAUUUACUGGGCGUAAAGCGCGUGUAGGCGGUCCCUUAAGUCCGGGGUGAAAGGCGGAGGCUCAACCUCCGAGCUGCGCCGGAAACUGGGGGUCUUGAAUGUCGGAGAGGGGCGUGGAAUUCCUGGUGUAGCGGUGAAAUGCGUAGAGAUCAGGAGGAACACCAGUGGCGAAGGCGAGUCCCUGGACGAUACCUGACACUGAGGCACGAAAGCCGGGGGAGCAAACAGG